GAUGAACGCUGGCGGCGUGCUUAACACAUGCAAGUCGAACGGUGAACACGGAGCUUGCUCUGUGGGAUCAGUGGCGAACGGGUGAGUAACACGUGAGCAACCUGCCCCUGACUCUGGGAUAAGCGCUGGAAACGGCGUCUAAUACUGGAUACGAGUAGCGGCCGCAUGGUCAGUUACUGGAAAGAUUUUUUGGUUGGGGAUGGGCUCGCGGCCUAUCAGCUUGUUGAUGAGGUAAUGGCUCACCAAGGCGUCGACGGGUAGCCGGCCUGAGUGGGUGACAGGCCACACUGGGACUGAGACACGGCCCCGACUCCUACGGGAAGCAGCAGUGGGGAAUAUUGCACAAUGGUCGAAAGCCUGAUGCAGCAACGCCGCGUGAGGGAUGACGGCCUUCGGGUUGUAAACCUCUUUUAGCAGGGAAGAAGCGAAAGUGACGGUACCUGCAGAAAAAGCGCCGGCUAACUACGUGCCAGCAGCCGCAGUAA
RNAcentral lists this ribosomal RNA (485 nucleotides) under uncultured bacterium. RNAcentral describes it as "partial 16S ribosomal RNA". It matches the Rfam family "Bacterial small subunit ribosomal RNA", at positions 28 to 523 of the family's 1533-position model. The record is from RNAcentral.